AGCCAUAUCAUGUUAAACUACCGGUUCUCGUCCGAUCACCGAAGUUAACCAACGUCAUGUCUGGUCCGUACCUACAUGGGUGACCGCUUGAGAAUACCAGCUGCUGUAAG
This is a non-coding RNA of Acanthosepion pharaonis, 110 nucleotides long. NCBI's taxonomy places the organism in Eukaryota, Metazoa, Mollusca, Cephalopoda, Sepiida, Sepiidae. The record is from the annotation of a GenBank genome assembly.